This 460-nucleotide ribosomal RNA is filed under the name uncultured bacterium. RNAcentral's name for it is "partial 16S ribosomal RNA". It matches the Rfam family "Bacterial small subunit ribosomal RNA", at positions 338 to 795 of the family's 1533-position model. The record is from RNAcentral.
CCUACGGGGGGCUGCAGUGAGGAAUAUUGGUCAAUGGCCGGAAGGCUGAACCAGCCAUGCCGCGUGAAGGUCAGUGCCCUAUGGGCGUUAAACUUCUUUUGUGCGGGAGCAAUAAUGGUCACGUGUAGCAGGACGAGAGUACCGUACGAAAAAGCAUCCGCUAACUCCGUGCCAGCAGCGGCGGUAAUACGGGGGGUGCAAGCGUUUUCCGGAUUUUUUGGGUUUAAAGGGUGCGUACGCUGGGAGGUAAGUCAGCGGUGAAAUGCCCCCGCUCAACGGGGUGAAGUGACAUUGAUACUGCCUUGCUGGAAUGCGGAUGCCGUGGGAGGAAUGUGUGGUGUAGCGGUGAAAUUCAUAGAUAUCACACAGAACACCGAUUGCGAAGGCAUCUCACGAAUCCGCGAUUGACGCUGAUGCACGAAAGCGUGGGUAUCAAACAGGAUUAGAUACCCCAGUAGUC